UACGUAGGGUGCGAGCGUUGUCCGGAAUUACUGGGCGUAAAGGGCUCGUAGGUGGUUUGUCGCGUUGUUCGUGAAAACCGGGGGCUUAACCCUCGGCGUGCGGGCGAUACGGGCAGACUUGAGUACUGCAGGGGAGACUGGAAUUCCUGGUGUAGCGGUGGAAUGCGCAGAUAUCAGGAGGAACACCGGUGGCGAAGGCGGGUCUCUGGGCAACAACUGACGCUGAGGAGCGAAAGCGUGGGGAGCGAACAGG
RNAcentral lists this ribosomal RNA (253 nucleotides) under uncultured bacterium. RNAcentral's name for it is "partial 16S ribosomal RNA". It matches the Rfam family "Bacterial small subunit ribosomal RNA", at positions 524 to 776 of the family's 1533-position model. The record is from RNAcentral.